This is a long non-coding RNA of Carlito syrichta (Philippine tarsier), 438 nucleotides long. RefSeq lists it as uncharacterized. Lineage: Eukaryota; Metazoa; Chordata; Mammalia; Primates; Tarsiidae. The transcript is spliced from 2 exons. The record is from RefSeq and is a predicted model, not a curated record.
GGCACCCCAGCCUAGCCCCCGUUGCACCUGUCCUCAGAGCAACGCUGAAGACUUGUACAUGAAAAUAGACAGCAUCCAGGCGGACAUCUUGGCGGCCAACAAAGUUAACCUCACCAAAGCAUUGCACGUCUCUGGCGUCGGCAGCAACAUGAGCAUUUCCCUUGACAUUCGUGAUGCGGAUCCCUUAGCCUACGUCACACACUUCCAGAGGGAAGAUAAGGGCUCAACGGAGUAGCAGCCCCAGAGGCAAACCAGGGAGGCCGAGGCUCUGUGUGCUGCAGGGAACCCUGGCUGAAGGACGGCGCCUGGGGCCAACCAAGCUCAGAGCUCCUCCACUUGGCCCUAGGUGGGAGGCCCUCGGUGGGAGACUGGGGGUUGGGCACGCCAGUCAGAGAGGGCACCUGGCUGGGAAGAAUUCAGUAAACAGACUUGAUGAUA